UACGUAGGAACCGAGCGUUGUCCGAAUUUACUGGGCGUAAAGAGCGCGUAGGUGGUUUGUUAAGUCUCACGUGUAAUCUCCCGGCUCAACUGGGAGGGGUCGUGGGAUACUGGCAGGCUAGAGGUUAUCAGAGGAAAGCGGAAUUCCAGGAGUAGUGGUGAAAUGCGUAGAUACCUGGAGGAACACCAGAGGCGAAGGCGGCUUUCUGGGAUACACCUGACACUGAGGCGCGAAAGCGUGGGGAGCGAAC
Molecule: ribosomal RNA, 250 nt
Filed under: uncultured bacterium
Lineage: Bacteria
Description: partial 16S ribosomal RNA
Rfam family: Bacterial small subunit ribosomal RNA
Source: RNAcentral